CCUACGGGUGGCAGCAGUGGGGAAUAUUGGACAAUGGGGGCAACCCUGAUCCAGCCAUGCCGCGCGUGUGAAGAAGGCCCUCGGGUUGUAAAGCACUUUCAGUGAGGAAGAACGCCUGGUGGUUAAUACCCAUCAGGAAAGACAUCACUCACAGAAGAAGCACCGGCUAACUCCGUGCCAGCAGCCGCGGUAAUACGGAGGGUGCGAGCGUUAAUCGGAAUUACUGGGCGUAAAGCGCGCGUAGGUGGCUUGAUAAGCCGGUUGUGAAAGCCCCGGGCUCAACCUGGGAACGGCAUCCGGAACUGUCAAGCUAGAGUGCAGGAGAGGAAGGUAGAAUUCCCGGUGUAGCGGUGAAAUGCGUAGAGAUCGGGAGGAAUACCAGUGGCGAAGGCGGCCUUCUGGACUGACACUGACACUGAGGUGCGAAAGCGUGGGUAGCAAACAGGAUUAGAUACCCGUGUAGUC
RNAcentral lists this ribosomal RNA (465 nucleotides) under Vreelandella stevensii. Its description in RNAcentral is "partial 16S ribosomal RNA". It matches the Rfam family "Bacterial small subunit ribosomal RNA", at positions 338 to 795 of the family's 1533-position model. The record is from RNAcentral. Lineage: Bacteria; Pseudomonadati; Pseudomonadota; Gammaproteobacteria; Oceanospirillales; Halomonadaceae.